RNAcentral lists this ribosomal RNA (253 nucleotides) under uncultured bacterium. Its description in RNAcentral is "partial 16S ribosomal RNA". It matches the Rfam family "Bacterial small subunit ribosomal RNA", at positions 524 to 776 of the family's 1533-position model. The record is from RNAcentral.
GACGUAGGAUGCAAGCGUUAUCCGGAAUGAUUGGGCGUAAAGCGUCCGCAGGUGGCAGUUCAAGUCUGCUGUCAAAGACCGGGGCUUAACUUCGGAAAGGCAGUGGAAACUGAACAGCUAGAGUAUGGUAGGGGCAGAGGGAAUUCCUGGCGUAGCGGUGAAAUGCGUAGAUAUCAGGAAGAACAUCGGUGGCGAAGGCGCUCUGCUGGACCAUAACUGACACUCAGGGACGAAAGCUAGGGGAGCGAAUGGG